UAGGGAAUCUUCCACAAUGGACGCAAGUCUGAUGGAGCAACGCCGCGUGAGUGAAGAAGGUUUUCGGAUCGUAAAGCUCUGUUGUUGGUGAAGAAGGAUAGAGGCAGUAACUGGUCUUUAUUUGACGGUAAUCAACCAGAAAGUCACGGCUAACUACGUGCCAGCAGCCGCGGUAAUACGUAGGUGGCAAGCGUUGUCCGGAUUUAUUGGGCGUAAAGCGAGCGCAGGCGGAAUGAUAAGUCUGAUGUGAAAGCCCACGGCUCAACCGUGGAACUGCAUCGGAAACUGUCAUUCUUGAGUGCAGAAGAGGAGAGUGGAAUUCCAUGUGUAGCGGUGGAAUGUGUAGAUAUAUGGAAGAACACCAGUGGCGAAGGCGGCUCUCUGGUCUGCAACUGACGCUGAGGCUCGAAAGCAUGGGUAGCGAACAGG
Molecule: ribosomal RNA, 429 nt
Filed under: Bacillota bacterium
Lineage: Bacteria; Bacillati; Bacillota
Description: Firmicutes bacterium partial 16S ribosomal RNA
Rfam family: Bacterial small subunit ribosomal RNA
Source: RNAcentral